This 514-nucleotide ribosomal RNA is filed under the name uncultured bacterium. Its description in RNAcentral is "bacterial SSU rRNA". It matches the Rfam family "Bacterial small subunit ribosomal RNA", at positions 8 to 518 of the family's 1533-position model. The record is from RNAcentral.
AGAGUUUGAUUAUGGCUCAGGAUGAACGCUAGCUACAGGCCUAACACAUGCAAGUCGAGGGGUAGCGUGAGGGAAGCUUGCUUCCCUGACGACGACCGGCGAAUGGGUGAGUCACGCGUGUCCAACCUGCCCCGUGCCCGGGGAUAGCCCUUGGAAAUGAGGAUUAAGACCCGAUAUGUGGCGCUUCCGCAUGGCGGCGCCAUGAAGCAGGCACGGGAUGGGGACGCGUCGGAUUAGCUUGACGGCGGGGCAACGGCCCACCGUGGCGACGAUCCGCAGGGGUUCUGAGAGGAAGGUCCCCCACACUGGCACUGAGACACGGGCCAGACUCCUACGGGAGGCAGCAGUGAGGAAUAUUGGUCAAUGGGCGGGAGCCUGAACCAGCCAAAGUAGCGUGCAGGACGACGGCCCUACGGGUUGUAAACUGCUUUUCCGGGAGGAUAAAGUGAGCCACGCGUGGUUCAUUGCAGGUAUCCCGGGAAUAAGGACCGGCUAAUUCCGUGCCAGCAGCGGC